AUGGAGGGGGAUAACUACUGGAAACGGUAGCUAAUACCGCAUAACGUCUCAAGACCAAAGAGGGGGACCUUCUGGCCUCUUGCCAUCUCAUGUGCCCCCAUGGGAUUAUCUAUUAUGUGGGGUAACGGCUCACCUAUGCGACAAUCCCUAUCUGGUCUGAGAGGAUGACCACCCACACUGGAACUGAGACACGGUCCCCACUCCUACGGGAGGCACCAGUGGGGAAUAUUGCGCAAUGGGCGCAAGCCUGAUGCACCCAUGCCGCGUGUAUGAAAAAAGCCUUCUGGUUGUAAAGUACUUUCUCCGGGGAGGAAAGUGUUGUGGUUAAUAACCCCAGCAAUUGACGUUACCCGCACAAAAAACACCGGCUAACUCCGUGCCACCACCCGCGGUAAUACGGAGGGUGCAAGCGUUAAUCGCAAUUACUGGGCGUAAAGCGCACGCACGCGGUCUGUCAAGUCGGAUGUGAAAUCCCCGGGCUCAACCUGGGAACUGCGUUCUAAACUGGGAGGCUGGAGUCUUGUGUAGGGGGGUAGAAUUCCAGGUGUAUCGGUGAAAUGCGUAUAGAUCUGGAGGAAUACCGGUGGCGAAAGCGGCCCCCUGGACAAAGACUGACGCUCACGUGCGAAAGCGUGUGGAGCA
Molecule: ribosomal RNA, 642 nt
Filed under: Enterobacter sp. 'CIFT MFB 15138 3ps3'
Lineage: Bacteria; Pseudomonadati; Pseudomonadota; Gammaproteobacteria; Enterobacterales; Enterobacteriaceae
Description: bacterial SSU rRNA
Rfam family: Bacterial small subunit ribosomal RNA
Source: RNAcentral